GGGCGAUUAGCUCAGUUGGGAGAGCACCUGCCUUACAAGCAGGAGGUCUACUGGUUCGAGCCCGGUAUCGCUCC
This 74-nucleotide transfer RNA is filed under the name Vibrio parahaemolyticus. Its description in RNAcentral is "tRNA-Val". It matches the Rfam family "tRNA". Rfam says of the family: Transfer RNA (tRNA) molecules are approximately 80 nucleotides in length. Their secondary structure includes four short double-helical elements and three loops (D, anti-codon, and T loops). Lineage: Bacteria; Pseudomonadati; Pseudomonadota; Gammaproteobacteria; Vibrionales; Vibrionaceae. The record is from RNAcentral.